UACGGGGGAGCAAGCGUUGUUCGGAUUUACUGGGCGUAAAGGGCGCGUAGGCGGUCGUGACAAGUCACUUGUGAAAUCUCCGGGCUUAACUCGGAACGGUCAAGUGAUACUGUCGGACUAGAGUACAGAAGGGGCAACUGGAAUUCUCGGUGUAGCGGUGAAAUGCGUAGAUAUCGAGAGGAACACCUGCGGCGAAGGCGGGUUGCUGGGCUGAUACUGACGCUGAGGCGCGAAAGCCAGGGGAGCGAACGGGG
Molecule: ribosomal RNA, 254 nt
Filed under: uncultured bacterium
Lineage: Bacteria
Description: partial 16S ribosomal RNA
Rfam family: Bacterial small subunit ribosomal RNA
Source: RNAcentral